GUCUACAGCCAUGCUACCCUGAACAAGCUCAAUCCCGUCUGAUCUCAGAAGCUAAGCAGGGUCAGGCCUGGUUAGUACUUGGAUGGGAGACCACCUAGGAAGACCUGGUGCUGUAGAUG
This 119-nucleotide ribosomal RNA is filed under the name Pteropus alecto (black flying fox). The record is from RNAcentral. Lineage: Eukaryota; Metazoa; Chordata; Mammalia; Chiroptera; Pteropodidae.